Molecule: transfer RNA, 76 nt
Filed under: Deinococcus sp.
Lineage: Bacteria; Thermotogati; Deinococcota; Deinococci; Deinococcales; Deinococcaceae
Description: tRNA-Lys
Rfam family: tRNA
About the family: Transfer RNA (tRNA) molecules are approximately 80 nucleotides in length.
Source: RNAcentral
GGGCCGUUAGCUCAGGCGGUAGAGCACCUGACUUUUAAUCAGGGAGUCACUGGUUCGAGUCCAGUACGGCCCACCA